RNAcentral lists this ribosomal RNA (404 nucleotides) under uncultured bacterium. RNAcentral's name for it is "partial 16S ribosomal RNA". It matches the Rfam family "Bacterial small subunit ribosomal RNA", at positions 353 to 767 of the family's 1533-position model. The record is from RNAcentral.
UGGGGGAAUUUUUACGCAAUGGGGGGAAACCCCUGACGUAGCGACACCGCGUGAGCGAAGAAGCCCCUUGGGGGUGUAAAGCUCUGUCAGCUGGAAACGAAACAAAUGACGGUACCAGCAGAGGAAGCAUCGGCUAACUACGUGCCAGCAGCCGCGGUAAGACGUAGGAUGCGAGCGUUGUCCGGAUUUAUUGGGCGUAAAGAGUUCGUAGGUGGUUUGUUAAGUUUGAUGUUAAAGAUCGGGGCUCAACCUCGGGACAGCAUUGAAUACUGGCAGACUUGAGUAUGGUAGAGGCUAGUGGAAUUCCCAGUGUAGCGGUGAAAUGCGUAGAUAUUGGGAAGAACACCGGUGGCGUAGGCGACUAGCUGGGCCAUAACUGACGCUGAGGAACGAAAGCCAGGGGG